AUCCAGAUGACGAGUCCCAAACAUGACGAAAUGUGUGUCCUGGGU
This 45-nucleotide non-coding RNA is filed under the name Trichobilharzia regenti. Lineage: Eukaryota; Metazoa; Platyhelminthes; Trematoda; Strigeidida; Schistosomatidae. The record is from RNAcentral.